UAAUAAAAAAUGUCUCUUAUUCUUUCAGAGGUUGAAUCUCAACACAACAAGACACAACAGAAUGCAGAACCUGAGGGACUUUAUCAAACACUCCAGCCAACGACUGAGGAGCAAGUCUACAGCAGCCUCACAGUGAUGGAGCAGAACUCCUCACAGCCGUCACCACAUCCACUCACUCUCUAACUGCUGAAGUCUCACUCUAUGUGUUAAGUUGAUGAUCUGAUGAACGGAAAUGAUGAAUGCAGUGAUUUUGUUUGUUUCUAAUUUUUCUAUUGUGCAAUAUUAUGCUACAGUACAUGUAGACAAAAUCUAUUUAAUGGUUACAUUGUCAGUAAUCAUUACAGGGUAACAAGGUUAACAAAAAAUUUAGAAAGUUACUUCUUCCAUUUUAGGAUGAGGAAGAGCUUUUUUUAUAUUAUAUUUUAAUUUAUAACAACCUCAACUCAAAAUCAGCCACUUUUUGCUUUUUGUUCAAAUUAAGAAUAAAAUGGUUUUCGGCUUUCAUGUGUGGUUGUACACAUUUUCUACAAUAUUUACUAUUGUGUGUCCUUACUACUGUAGACUGGCUGGUUAUAUGUUGGGUGUCCAUGUUGGGUAACAGGUAGGAUUAGGCCUGUAGGGAUGCAGUGUUUUAAGGAGCGGUGUCCUCACACAGAAGGACACAGCUGGUGUGUCUGUGAGUCAGAGGGAGGAGUUUUGACCUAAUCGAGGGUAAAGAGGAAAAGGAAGUUAUCCUCUGCAGAGACAGUCGUGAACUCAGCCUCAUUCCUUUUUACUAGUGUUUGUGAGCGUUGUCAGUUUCACAAUGAUGAAAGUCUGUGUGUGGACCGUGUGUCUGUUUACUGCUCUGACUGUCGGGGUGAAGAGUCUAACACAAACAGGUUACGUUGGAAAAAAUGUAACAUUCCACUGCUCAGACUGGAAGGGUUUCAUUUGGAGUAAUGUGAAAUCUUACGUUAAGUACAUUUGUAACAACCCAUGUACAAAAGACGAACAUGUGAUCAUGAAAGUAAAACCUGGAGAGACUAAACAUGAGAACAGAAUAUAUUUAUUCAACAACGGAGUAACUUUGUCUGUGACCUUCAUUAAUCUCCAGAAGUCAGACUCUAGGACAUAUUACUGUGGACUGGAUGAGAAUUUACGAGAGUCAUUAAUAGAAGUGAACCUUAACGUUAGAGAUGCAUUGAUUCCUGGUCCACAGACAACAGUUAGAACAGUCAGUGUCUGGUCAAGCUCCACUGUGUCUUCAAACAGCAAAGAUAUUACUUCAGAUAUUUCACCAUUGUUCACCACACGUCAGUCAACAGCAGCUGCUGCAUCGGAAGCACAUAAAGAAGAAGGAAAUGGUAGGAUGUGCAAGUUUUAUUUUAUUAGUGAAGAUGUAAAACAGCAGUGA
This 1396-nucleotide long non-coding RNA is filed under the name Betta splendens (Siamese fighting fish). Its description in RNAcentral is "lncRNA (ENSBSLG00000015866.1)". Lineage: Eukaryota; Metazoa; Chordata; Actinopteri; Anabantiformes; Osphronemidae. The record is from RNAcentral.